RNAcentral lists this ribosomal RNA (422 nucleotides) under uncultured archaeon. RNAcentral's name for it is "partial 16S ribosomal RNA". It matches the Rfam family "Archaeal small subunit ribosomal RNA", at positions 323 to 746 of the family's 1478-position model. The record is from RNAcentral.
CUACGGGGUGCUGCAGUUAGGAAUAAUCUACAAUGCACGUAAGUGUGAUAGUUUGAGCCAGAGUGCUUUUCAUUACGAAAAGCUUUUGUGAAAUGUAAAAAGUUUCACGAAUAAGGACUGGGUAAGACGAGUGCCAGCCGCCGCGGUAAUACUCGCGGUCCAAGUCGCAGCCAUUUUUAUUGGGUCUAAAACAUCCGUAGCUUGUUUAGUAAGUCUCUUGUGAAAUUUUGUAUCUUAAAUACAGAGCGUGCAAGAGGUACUACUAGGCUAGAGACUGGGAGACGUAAGAAGUACGUUCAAAGUAGCGGUUAAAUGUGUUAAUCUUGGACGGACUCACAAGAGCGAAGGCAUCUUACGAGAACAGUUCUGACAGUCAGGGAUGAAGGCUAGGGGCGCAAAACGGAUUAGAUACCCUAGUAGUC